AACGAACGCUGGCGGCAGGCUUAACACAUGCAAGUCGAACGGGUGUAGCAAUACAUCAGUGGCAGACGGGUGAGUAACACGUGGGAACCUUCCUAGGGGUACGGAACAACUCAGGGAAACUUGAGCUAAUACCGUAUACGUCCGUAAGGAGAAAGAUUCAUCGCCCCUAGACGGGCCCGCGUCGGAUUAGGUAGUUGGUGGGGUAACGGCCUACCAAGCCUACGAUCCGUAGCUGAUCUGAGAGGANGAUCAGCCACACUGGGACUGAGACACGGCCCAGACUCCUACGGGAGGCAGCAGUGGGGAAUCUUGGACAACGGGCGCAAGCCUGAUCCAGCCAUGCCGCGUGAGUGAAGAAGGCC
Molecule: ribosomal RNA, 362 nt
Filed under: uncultured bacterium
Lineage: Bacteria
Description: bacterial SSU rRNA
Rfam family: Bacterial small subunit ribosomal RNA
Source: RNAcentral